Stegodyphus dumicola is the source of this 438-nucleotide long non-coding RNA. Lineage: Eukaryota; Metazoa; Arthropoda; Arachnida; Araneae; Eresidae. The record is from RefSeq and is a predicted model, not a curated record.
GAACGAUCGGCUAGCAAUGGUGAAAGGGGUGCAUGGUCCAACACAGAUUGAAAAUUGCUGAUCUAAGAGAAGGAGUGCCUUCGUGGAGGGUGUUUUAAGGUUUUUUUCCUGAAAAUUGCUGACAUAAACCAUCAUCAAAAUGGUGUUCAAGAGAGUUGAUAAGAAAUUUAAAAUCUGUACUUACCGACCUUGAUAUGAAGAAGAUGAACAUGGAUAUGUUAAAAGAAAUUCUUUAAUGUUUAUCUGAAAAAGAAAAAUAAGGCUCCGUUAAGAAAGAAAAUGCAGAAUAUUGUGCAUGUUUUUAAAUUAAUAACAUAUAUGUGAAGUGAUAUUUUAUGAUAAUACAUGUUAAGAAACUUAUUUUUAAGAAAACAUAUUAUUAAAGAAGCAUGUUAAACAUGUCUCAGAAAGCAUGCUAUUAAAAAACAUUAAAACGUG